CUACGGGGGGCAGCAGUGGGGAAUAUUGGACAAUGGGCGAAAGCCUGAUCCAGCGACGCCGCGUGAGUGAUGAAGUAUUUCGGUAUGUAAAGCUCUAUCAGCAGGGAAGAUAAUGACGGUACCUGACUAAGAAGCACCGGCUAAAUACGUGCCAGCAGCCGCGGUAAUACGUAUGGUGCAAGCGUUAUCCGGAUUUACUGGGUGUAAAGGGAGCGUAGAUGGCAUCACAAGUCAGAAGUGAAAGCCCGGGGCUUAACCCCGGGACUGCUUUUGAAACUGUGGAGCUGGAGUACAGGAGAGGCAAGCGGAAUUCCUAGUGUAGCGGUGAAAUGCGUAGAUAUUAGGAGGAACACCAGUGGCGAAGGCGGCUUGCUGGACUGCAACUGACAUUGAGGCUCGAAAGCGUGGAGAGCAAACAGGAUUAGAUACCCUCGUAGUC
RNAcentral lists this ribosomal RNA (439 nucleotides) under uncultured bacterium. RNAcentral describes it as "partial 16S ribosomal RNA". It matches the Rfam family "Bacterial small subunit ribosomal RNA", at positions 339 to 795 of the family's 1533-position model. The record is from RNAcentral.